Molecule: ribosomal RNA, 468 nt
Filed under: uncultured bacterium
Lineage: Bacteria
Description: partial 16S ribosomal RNA
Rfam family: Bacterial small subunit ribosomal RNA
Source: RNAcentral
GACGAACGCUGGCGGCGUGCUUAACACAUGCAAGUCGAACGGAAAGGCCCUGCUUUUGUGGGGUGCUCGAGUGGCGAACGGGUGAGUAACACGUGAGUAACCUGCCCUUGACUUUGGGAUAACUUCAGGAAACUGGUGCUAAUACCGGAUAGGAGCUCCUGCUGCAUGGUGGGGGUUGGAAAGUUUCGGCGGUUGGGGAUGGACUCGCGGCUUAUCAGCUUGUUGGUGGGGUAGUGGCUUACCAAGGCUUUGACGGGUAGCCGGCCUGAGAGGGUGACCGGACACAUUGGGACUGAGAUACGGCCCAGACUCCUACGGGAGGCAGCAGUGGGGAAUAUUGCACAAUGGGCGGAAGCCUGAUGCAGCAACGCCGCGUGCGGGAUGACGGCCUUCGGGUUGUAAACCGCUUUCGCCUGUGACGAAGCGUGAGUGACGGUAAUGGGUAAAGAAGCACCGGCUAACUACGUG